ACUCCAGCUCCAAUAGCGUAUAUUAAAGUUGUUGCGGUUAAAAAGCUCGUAGUUGGAUUUCUGCUGAGGACGACCGGUCCGCCCUCUGGGUGAGCAUCUGGCUCGGCCUUGGCAUCUUCUUGGAGAACGUUACUGCACUUGAUUGUGUGGUGCGGUAUCCAGGACUUUUACUUUGAGGAAAUUAGAGUGUUUCAAGCAGGCGCACGCCUUGAAUACAUUAGCAUGGAAUAAUAAGAUAGGACCUUGGUUCUAUUUUGUUGGUUUCUAGAGCUGAGGUAAUGAUUAAUAGGGAUAGUUGGGGCAUUCGUAUUUAACUGUCAGAGGUGAAAUUUCUUGGAUUUGUUUAAAGACGGACUACUGCGAAAGCAUUUUGCCAAGGAUGUUUUUCAUUGAUCAAGAACGAAAGUUAGGGGAUCGAAGACGAUCAGAUACCGUCCUAGUUCCAACCAUAAACGAUGCCGUCUGCGGAUCGGAGGUCGCUCACAAUAGGCUCCUUCGGCACG
Molecule: ribosomal RNA, 503 nt
Filed under: uncultured marine eukaryote
Lineage: Eukaryota
Description: SSU rRNA
Rfam family: Eukaryotic small subunit ribosomal RNA
Source: RNAcentral